This 401-nucleotide unclassified non-coding RNA is filed under the name soil metagenome. Its description in RNAcentral is "partial contains 5.8S ribosomal RNA, internal transcribed spacer 2, and large subunit ribosomal RNA". The stretch from base 1 to 121 matches the Rfam family "5.8S ribosomal RNA", at positions 35 to 154 of the family's 154-position model. The record is from RNAcentral.
GAUGAAGAACGUAGCGAAAUGCGAUAAGUAAUGUGAAUUGCAGAAUUCAGUGAAUCAUCGAAUCUUUGAACGCACCUUGCGCCCUUUGGCCAUUCCGAAGGGCAUGCCUGUUUGAGUAUCAUGAACACCUCAACUCUCAUGGCUCGCCAUGAUGAGCUUGGAUUUGGGGGUCUUGCUGGCCUGUGGUCGGCUCCUCUCAAAUGGAUCAGCUUGCCAGUGUUUGGUGGCAUCACAGGUGUGAUAACUAUCUGCGCUGGUGGUUUUCCAUCAGAUAACCUUCAGUGAUGGAGGUUCGCUGGAGCUCAUAAACGUCUCCCCUAAGCGGGGACAGCCCUUUGAAUGUUUGAUCUCAAAUCAGGUAGGACUACCCGCUGAACUUAAGCAUAUCAAUAAGCGGAGGA